CCUACGGGAGGCAGCAGUGGGGAAUAUUGCACAAUGGGCGCAAGCCUGAUGCAGCCAUGCCGCGUGUGUGAAGAAGGCCUUCGGGUUGUAAAGCACUUUCAGCGGGGAGGAAGGCGUUAAGGUUAAUAACCUUGUCGAUUGACGUUACCCGCAGAAGAAGCACCGGCUAACUCCGUGCCAGCAGCCGCGGUAAUACGGAGGGUGCAAGCGUUAAUCGGAAUUACUGGGCGUAAAGCGCACGCAGGCGGUCUGUCAAGUCGGAUGUGAAAUCCCCGGGCUCAACCUGGGAACUGCAUUCGAAACUGGCAGGCUAGAGUCUUGUAGAGGGAGUUAGUAUUCCAGGUGUAGCGGUGAAAUGCGUAGAGAUCUGGAGGAAUACCGGUGGCGGAGGCGGCCCCCUGGACAAAGACUUACGCUCAGGUGCGAAAGCGUGGGGAGCAAACAGGAUUAGAUACCCUAGUAGUC
This 465-nucleotide ribosomal RNA is filed under the name uncultured Klebsiella sp. RNAcentral describes it as "bacterial SSU rRNA". It matches the Rfam family "Bacterial small subunit ribosomal RNA", at positions 338 to 795 of the family's 1533-position model. Lineage: Bacteria; Pseudomonadati; Pseudomonadota; Gammaproteobacteria; Enterobacterales; Enterobacteriaceae. The record is from RNAcentral.